Molecule: long non-coding RNA, 663 nt
Filed under: Glycine max (soybean)
Lineage: Eukaryota; Viridiplantae; Streptophyta; Magnoliopsida; Fabales; Fabaceae
Description: long non-coding RNA (GMAX_LNC000081)
Source: RNAcentral
GACAUCAAUAUUUUAUUUAUAAUCAUAAAGGAAAAAUUGCAAUUUAACAAACAUCCCAAAAUAAAAUCCCAAUUUAAUCCUCUAAGGAUCCCUACACAUGUUCUCACUAAUCCCCAACUGUGAAUAACUCAUCCCUUACAUCUAAGCGGGCUCACGUGUCUUCAGUCAGCGAUAGCAACAUCUCUAGCGGUUCCCGGAAAUUCUUUCAAUUAUUCAUCCGACUGCUCCGAUAGAAUUCCCAAACGUCAGAGAGACGGAGAAGAGAUUGAAACCUCCACUUGUACUGUCUUCAUACGAUUCCUUUUUCUCCCUACACGAAUAUUGUCUCGCAAAUCCCAACGGUGGAAGCGUGCGGAAUUGAAUUUCGAACAACAUAUCCAAAUUUAACAAUAAUCCAACGGUUAACGAAACCGGGAUCGUAGUUUUACCAAGACAGCUCUGGGUUUCUGCGGGAAAGAAAAAGGCUACAAUGCGAAGGGUUUUUCUCUCAUUUAAGACCUGAUAUCGAAAUUCCCAACGGUGAGAAUGCUCGGAAUUGUGUUGCGAACAUGAUACUCAAAUUUCACGACGAUCCAACGGUGAACGGGUUCGAGAUUGUCGUUUUUCUGAGACUUGUUUGGUGGGCUGCGGGAAAAAGAAAGGGUUUUGAGAGAAGGGGAAAAA